RNAcentral lists this ribosomal RNA (869 nucleotides) under Flavopunctelia soredica. RNAcentral's name for it is "partial small subunit ribosomal RNA". It matches the Rfam family "Bacterial small subunit ribosomal RNA", at positions 357 to 1183 of the family's 1533-position model. The record is from RNAcentral. Lineage: Eukaryota; Fungi; Ascomycota; Lecanoromycetes; Lecanorales; Parmeliaceae.
AGGAAUGUAUAGCAAUAGCUACUUGCAUCAUUGUACAAAUGGUGCAAGAUCGACUAUGUCGAAUAAAAUUCUAGGUAGAAUUUUGAUAAUGACAUUGUCUGCCUAUGUGUCUUGACCAAAUUACGUGCCAGCAGUCGCGGUAAUACGUAGAAGACUAGUGUUAUUCAUGUUUAAUCGGUUUAAAGGGUACCUAGACGGUAGAUCAAGCUUUCACAUAAAAGGAUAAAACAUAAAUAAAGAACAAUUAUAGAAAGGACUAAUUUGCUAGAGUUACUUACGAGGGGGUAUUAAAGUACUGCUGGUGUAGAGAUGAAAUUCUGUCAUACCUCUUUUCGAAAGAAAAAUCAUGGCACAGGUAUAGGCGAAGGCAUCCCCUUAUGUGAUAACUGACGUUGAGGGACGAAGGCUUUGUGUAACAAACAGGAUUAGAUACCCUAGUAGUUGAAGCAGAAAAUGAUGAAUGUCAUAGAUUAGAUAUAUAAGUUUAUUCUAUAAAUGAAAAGUGUAAGCAUUCCACCUCAUGAGUAAUUUGGCAACAUUGGAACUGAAAUCAUUAGACCGUUUCUGAAACCAGUAGUGAAGUAUGUUGUUUAAUUUGAUGAUCCGCAAAAAACCUUACCACAAUUUGAAUAUUUAUAUUUUUUUUAUUGUUUUCUUAUUAAUUUUCUUCUAAUAACAUAUAUAAAUAACAAAAUAAAAAAAAAAAGAAAAAAAUUAAGAAAGAGGCUAUAAUAUAUAUUUACAAGCGUUGCACGGCUGUCUUCAGUUAAUGUCGCGAGACUUUGGUUAGUUCCAUUAAAUUAACGUAAACCCUUACUUUAUUUUUAGAUAGAGUAGUUCCCCGCUAUAUAGGAUAUGAUACGGACUAA